AGAAGUGUUUGCUAGAGAUAAUAACAACUAAAGGGAAUGGUCAGGUCACAUACAGUCUUAGAUGUGCGUCAGAAAAUUAUUGUAACACUGGAACGAAAAGAACAUUGCAUUCAAGAUAUUUGACAGUUCAAUGUUGCGAUAGAGACUUAUGUAAUGUUCCUGUAAUCACAACGUUACCAUCACAACCAAACACAACAACAACAACGUCUAUUAAGACAACAACAGAAAUAACCAUCAAAACAACUACCGCUUUGACAACAGCGGUUGACCAUUGUGUAUCCAACCCAUGUGCUCAUGGGACAUGUUCAUCCAGCGUUCACUCAUAUGUGUGUUCUUGUGAACAAGGCUGGAUAGGAUCGAAUUGCAAAACUCCUGAUCCCUGCACAAAUUCUCCAUGUUACAAUGGUUUCUGCUCAAGUUUUGAAAAUGGUACAUUUUCUUGUAUAUGCAACAGUGGUUAUACAGGGCAGCUAUGCGACUUUG
Molecule: long non-coding RNA, 483 nt
Organism: Ruditapes philippinarum (Manila clam)
Lineage: Eukaryota; Metazoa; Mollusca; Bivalvia; Venerida; Veneridae
Exons: 4
Source: RefSeq, a predicted model, not a curated record